Long non-coding RNA from Diorhabda carinulata, 350 nucleotides. RefSeq lists it as uncharacterized. The record is from RefSeq and is a predicted model, not a curated record. The transcript has 2 exons. Lineage: Eukaryota; Metazoa; Arthropoda; Insecta; Coleoptera; Chrysomelidae.
GAAAACUUUAGUAGCAAUCCUUAAUAAUAUUGAGUUUGUACGUUAUUAUACAUUUGAUUUCGCGAUGUGGCAACGUGUUUGUGAUUCCAUAUUGGCCGUCAACUGAUCCCGAGAUUAUCUUCGCUUGAUAUUCGGUUGAAAUGCAAUUAGCCGAACUGAAUGAUAAGGUUUCGAUGUGGUUUCUGCUGGUUCAUCGUGCUCGCUCCAUGCUUUUUUUCGAUUUAUGUUACUGUACAGGACCCAUUUUUCACCACCGGUGAUGAUUCUUCUCAAGAAAGGAUCGUUUAAGGCGCCUAUCGCAAAUAUUGAUUGUUUGUGUUAAAUAAAUUAGUGAAGUACCUAAAAAUCAA